AUUGAACGCUGGCGGCAGGCUUAACACAUGCAAGUCGAGCGAGCGGCGGACGGGUGAGUAAUGUAUGGGAAACUGCCUGAUGUAGGGGGAUAACUACUGGAAACGGUAGCUAAUACCGCAUACCAUCAGAUGUGCCCAGAAGGGAUUAGCUAGUAGGUGGGGUAAUGGCGCACCUAGGCGACGAUGCCUAGCUGGUCUGAGAGGAUGACCAGCCACACUGGAACGGAGACACGGUCCAGACGCCGACGGGAGGCAGCAGUGGGGAAUAUGGCACAAUGGGCGCAAGCCUGAUGCAGCCAUGCCGCGUGUGUGAAGAAGGCCUUCGGGUUGUAAAGCACUGUCGGCGGGGAGGCGGUACUCGGAGAAGAAGCACCGGCUAACUCCGUGCCAGCAGCCGCGGUAAUUC
Molecule: ribosomal RNA, 406 nt
Filed under: uncultured bacterium
Lineage: Bacteria
Description: partial 16S ribosomal RNA
Rfam family: Bacterial small subunit ribosomal RNA
Source: RNAcentral